GCUGGGCGUGGUGGCUCAUGCCUGUAACCCCAUCUACUUUGGGGGCUGAGGCAGGAGCAUCACUUGAGCCUGGGAGAUGGAGGUUGCAGUGAGCCAAGAUUGCGCCACUGCACUCCAGCCUGGCGACAGAGUGAGAUUCUGUCUCAA
RNAcentral lists this non-coding RNA (147 nucleotides) under Pan paniscus (pygmy chimpanzee). The record is from Rfam by way of RNAcentral. RNAcentral also lists the same sequence under 1 other name. Lineage: Eukaryota; Metazoa; Chordata; Mammalia; Primates; Hominidae.